GCAACCUGCACGGUUGGAUCUCUUGCUGCAUGGAAGCAAGGCCCUGAGAAGUGCUGGGGGAUGAGCAGGAGGGGGCUCGGCUUUCUGCUCCUCCUGUAUGCAGCCUCCUUGGCCUGCCUCAAUAGCGUAGCAAAGAGGCUGCCUCUCCUUGCUCCCAUCCCUGUGAACACGAGGCCGUUGCCCACCCAGAGCAAACACAGAGUUUUUUUCAGGUCAAAAAAGGAAUUUCUGGUCAAAACCAUAACGGGAAAGAACACACAGGAAGCCAGGCUGUGAUCCGAGCCCAGCAGAGCCUCUCAUAUCCCAGCGAUGGAGCCAACAGCUGCCCUGCCACGCAGCCACCCCUCAACUGGCCGCCCACACCCCAGGCACCAGGAGCAUCCCCAGGCAGGAGAGGAUCCACUGCUGCAACGCGAUCUGGGAGAAGAUGCCUGGUCCCACCCACCUUCCCUUCCAAACUGGCCGACUGCUUUCAGGUCAAGCAUCACUUGUGCUUUAGCAGUGCCUUCCAUGCACCCAUCCACGUGGCACAGCUCAGCCAGGAUGCGGGAUGUGGGACGUGGUUGUGAUCUGCACCUCGGUUCACCCCGGCAAGGAUAAGUCACAAGCGUUGCAUCUCCUUCAC
RNAcentral lists this long non-coding RNA (625 nucleotides) under Gallus gallus (chicken). RNAcentral's name for it is "long non-coding RNA NONGGAT004130". The record is from RNAcentral. Lineage: Eukaryota; Metazoa; Chordata; Aves; Galliformes; Phasianidae.